GAGGGUAUAGCUCAGUGGUAAAACUCAUGCUUAGCAAGCAUGAGGUCCUGGGUUCAAUCCCCAGUACCUCCA
RNAcentral lists this transfer RNA (72 nucleotides) under Camelus bactrianus (Bactrian camel). It matches the Rfam family "tRNA". From Rfam's summary of the family: Transfer RNA (tRNA) molecules are approximately 80 nucleotides in length. The record is from Rfam by way of RNAcentral. Lineage: Eukaryota; Metazoa; Chordata; Mammalia; Artiodactyla; Camelidae. RNAcentral also lists the same sequence under 2 other names.